GAUGAAGAACGCAGCGAAAUGCGAUAAGUAAUGUGAAUUGCAGAAUUCAGUGAAUCAUCGAAUCUUUGAACGCACAUUGCGCCCCCUGGUAUUCCGGGGGGCAUGCCUGUUCGAGCGUCAUUUCACCACUCAAGCCUCGCUUGGUAUUGGGCAUCGCGGUCCGCCGCGUGCCUCAAAACGACCGGCUGGGUCUUCUGUCCCCUAAGCGUUGUGGAAACUAUUCGCUAAAGGGUGUUCGGGAGGCUACGCCGUAAAACAACCCCAUUUCUAAGGUUGACCUCGGAUCAGGUAGGGAUACCCGCUGAACUUAAGCAUAUCAAUAAGCGGAGGA
Molecule: unclassified non-coding RNA, 331 nt
Filed under: soil metagenome
Description: partial contains 5.8S ribosomal RNA, internal transcribed spacer 2, and large subunit ribosomal RNA
Rfam family: 5.8S ribosomal RNA (bases 1-120)
Source: RNAcentral